This 250-nucleotide ribosomal RNA is filed under the name uncultured bacterium. RNAcentral's name for it is "partial 16S ribosomal RNA". It matches the Rfam family "Bacterial small subunit ribosomal RNA", at positions 524 to 773 of the family's 1533-position model. The record is from RNAcentral.
UACGGAGGGUGCAAGCGUUAAUCGGAAUUACUGGGCGUAAAGCGCACGCAGGCGGUCUGUCAAGUCGGAUGUGAAAUCCCCGGGCUCAACCUGGGAACUGCAUUCGAAACUGGCAGGCUAGAGUCUUGUAGAGGGGGGUAGAAUUCCAGGUGUAGCGGUGAAAUGCGUAGAGAUCUGGAGGAAUACCGGUGGCGAAGGCGGCCCCCUGGACAAAGACUGACGCUCAGGUGCGAAAGCGUGGGGAGCAAAC